UUGUUUAUUUAUUAUUUUAUUACCAUUUUUAAUUCAUUGUUUCAGCAGUACCGUGUGCGUUUAGUAUUUCUAUUUUGUCAGCAGUUUCCUUGUGCAUUUAGUAGUCCACUUCAUCUCUCUCCCUUAGUCACUCUCUGUCCAGACACCAUCUCUGUCGCCGUCGUGUGUGCAUUCCGGGGAGAAAAUUCAUGACUAACUAUUUCACAAGGCGGUCUAAGCGGCGUCGGGCGAAUUCCUCCGGUGGUGCUCAAGAAGACAAUGGUAUAGUUGAACCUAUUCCAGGAAGACCAGGUGUUGCAGGAGCUUUAGGAAUUCCAGUAGCCAUCUGAAAAGAUGGGGCAGUAAUCUUACUUAAAGUUGGUGUGGUAGCAUUAGAUUUCAAAAACUUGGGCUAGAUUGCUAGGGAACAGACUGAAUCAUGUUACUCCUGUUCUGGUGUAGCAAAAUCGGCGUUUUUUUUUUUUUUUUUUUUUUUUUGAAUUGUAAUGUAUGGAUUGGAUGGGUUGACAGUGUGCAUAUCUACGUUACGUUGGCUUUCACUGAGUUGGCAGGCACUUGUAAAUGCUAAUGUUAGGAAAUUGAAGUAUGAGGCCCAUAUCUAAGUUUGCUAUAAUAUAAUAUUUCAAGUCGAUCAUGCUA
Molecule: long non-coding RNA, 639 nt
Organism: Ipomoea triloba (trilobed morning glory)
Lineage: Eukaryota; Viridiplantae; Streptophyta; Magnoliopsida; Solanales; Convolvulaceae
Exons: 2
Source: RefSeq, a predicted model, not a curated record